This 498-nucleotide ribosomal RNA is filed under the name uncultured bacterium. Its description in RNAcentral is "partial 16S ribosomal RNA". It matches the Rfam family "Bacterial small subunit ribosomal RNA", at positions 28 to 507 of the family's 1533-position model. The record is from RNAcentral.
GACGAACGCUGGCGGCGUGCCUAAUACAUGCAAGUCGAACGAAAACGCCCGGUGCUUGCUCUGUCCACUCUAGUGGCGGACGGGUGAGUAACACGUAGGUAACCUGCCUAUCAGAGUGGGAUAACAUUCGGAAACGGAUGCUAAAACCGCAUAGUUCUUCGAACCGCAUGGUUUGAUGAGGAAAGGAGGCGCAAGCUUCUGCUGAUGAUUGACCCCGCGCCGCAUUAGCUAGUUGGUAAGGUAACGGCUCACCAAGGCAGUGAUGCAUAGCCGACCUGAGAGGGUGAUCGGCCACACUGGAACUGAGACACGGCCCAGACUCCUACGGGAGGCAGCAGUAGGGAAUCUUCCGCAAUGGGCGAAAGCCUGACGGAGCAACGCCGCGUGAGUGAAGAAGGUCUUCGGAUCGUAAAACUCUGUUGUUAGAGAAGAACAAGCGCUAAAGUAACUGUGAGCGCCUUGACGGUACCUAAUCAGAAAGCCACGGCUAACUACGUG